RNAcentral lists this ribosomal RNA (326 nucleotides) under uncultured eukaryote. RNAcentral describes it as "partial 18S ribosomal RNA". It matches the Rfam family "Eukaryotic small subunit ribosomal RNA", at positions 1470 to 1796 of the family's 1831-position model. The record is from RNAcentral.
CCCUUAGAUGUUCUGGGCUGCACGCGCGCUACACUGAUGCGUUCAACGAGUUUUUGACCUUGCCUGACACGGUUGGGUAAUCUUGUUAAAACGCAUCGUGAUGGGGAUAGAUUAUUGCAAUUAUUGAUCUUCAACGAGGAAUUCCUAGUAAGCGUGAGUCAUCAGCUCGUGCUGAUUACGUCCCUGCCCUUUGUACACACCGCCCGUCGCACCUACCGAUUGAAUGGUCCGGUGAACCCUCCGGAUCGGCUCGCGCCAACGCAAGUUGAGCAAAGGCCGAGAAGUUGGGUAAACCUUACCAUUUAGAGGAAGGUGAAGUCGUAACA